ACGAUGAAGAGUUUGAUCCUGGCUCAGGAUGAACGCUAGCGGCAGGCCUAACACAUGCAAGUCGAGGGGCAGCGGGGAGUGCUUGCACUCCGCCGGC
Non-coding RNA from Pseudozobellia thermophila, 97 nucleotides. NCBI's taxonomy places the organism in Bacteria, Pseudomonadati, Bacteroidota, Flavobacteriia, Flavobacteriales, Flavobacteriaceae. The record is from Rfam.